Molecule: ribosomal RNA, 492 nt
Filed under: uncultured bacterium
Lineage: Bacteria
Description: partial 16S ribosomal RNA
Rfam family: Bacterial small subunit ribosomal RNA
Source: RNAcentral
AGUGAACGCUGGCGGCAGGCCUAACACAUGCAAGUCGAACGGCAGCACAGUAAGUGCUUGCUCUUACGGGUGGCGAGUGGCGGACGGGUGAGGUAUACAUCGGAAUCCACUCUUUCGUGGGGGAUAACGUAGGGACACCUACGACAAUAUCCCAUACGACUCACGGGUGAAAGCAUGGGAUCUUCGGACCUUGUGCGAUUGAACGAGCCGAUGUUGGAUUUGUUAGUUGGCGGGGUAAAGGCCCACCAAGGCGACGAUCCGUAGCUGGUCUGAGAGGCUGGUCGGCCGCCCUGGAGCUGGGACACGGUCCCGACUCCUGCGAGAGGCAGCAGUGGGGAAUAUUGGGCAGUAGGCGCGAGCCUGGUCCAGCCGUCCCGCGUGUGUGAAGAAGGCCUUCGGGUUGUGAAGCCCUUUUGUUGGGAGAGAAAAGCAGCCAGUUAAUACCCCGCUGUUCUGACGGUACCCGAAGAAUAAGCACCGGCUAACUUCGUG